This 2817-nucleotide long non-coding RNA is filed under the name Equus asinus (donkey). Its description in RNAcentral is "lncRNA (ENSEASG00005028685.1)". The record is from RNAcentral. Lineage: Eukaryota; Metazoa; Chordata; Mammalia; Perissodactyla; Equidae.
CAGUCUCACAAAGGAACAAAGGACACCAGAGAAGAAGGGUUUUCAGCAUAGUUUUUAUAUCUUUCCAGAACAAAGAAUAUACAUCAAACAUGUCAAAGAUACAUAUUUCUCAACGCUUCAAAUUACUUAAUCACUUAAUUACAGAUUAGCACAUAUGCAACAAGUCAACGCGACCCUGACGUCUGGGAAGUGAAACCGAUCUUCAAAGGAGUACUGGUUUUGGCAAGAUAGGAAGGAAGGCAUUCAUCCGCAUCUUCAAAGAGUGCACUCUUUACUUUGGGAUAAUGUUUAAUGCAUUCUUUACUUUAAUAAUUAAAGCUGAUGUACAAGGGACGCCUGGUGGUGUAGUGGUUAAGUUCAUGCACUCCGCUUCAGUGGCCUGGGGUUCAUGAGUUUGGAUCCUAGGUGCAGACCUACGCAUUGCUCAUCAAGCCAUGCUUCAGCAGUGUCCCACAUACAAAAAGCAGAGGAAGACUGGCACAGAUGUUAGCUCACGGGCCAGCCCCAUGGCCAAGUGGUUAAGUUCAUGCACUCCGCUUCAGUGGCUCAGGGUUUCGCCAGUUCGGAUCCUGGGCAGACAUGGCACUGCUCAUCAGGCCAUGCAGAGGUGGUGUCCCACAUAGCGCAACCAGAAGGACCUACAACUACAAUAUACAACUAUGCACUGGGGGGCUUUGGGGAGAAGAAGAAAACAAAAGAAGAAGGUUGACCACAGAUGUUAGCUCAGGUGCCAAUCUAUAAAAACAAACAAAAAAAAACCUCUUUAUGUACACCUGAAAUUUAUAUAAUGUUAUAAAUCAAAAUUACAGCAAUAAAAAAUAAAUACAUUUAAAAAGCAGAAGUACAAUGUAUGUUUGACAGGCCAUAAGGCAGGCUUCUUUAGUUCACCACAUACAGUUCAGGCGAAACCAGGUUUAAACCAGAAUACCUUCCCCAUAUACCUCAAUAUGUGAAACUUUCUUACACCAUUUUGAACACACAGGUUCACCAUGCCACCACUGACUCCACAAUCCCUCCAUCACUGAAUUAUAGAUUUGCCCGAUUAACUUCACAGAUUCCCCUGACCACUAAUCUCCAAAGACACGUCAACUAUUGACUACACAAACCACCAAUCAACACAACACACUUCUUUCAUUCGCCCCCAAAACCCAUAUCACUGACCUCCACAGACUCUCAUCACUGAUACACAACAAGGAACCCCACAGAAGUCUCCCCUCCCUCCAGGUCCUCUCAUCACCUCACUUGACCAACAGACUUCCACAGAGUACUUCCCUGAAGUUGGUCACCUAGGCAACCCCACAGCCCCCCUGCUGGGCACACUCGGUAACACCUUUGAGCAGAAGAUGCUGCGGAUCACAUGAUGAACCUCCAGGAACUCGGAUUCUGAACUUUUGAGGCCCUUAAAGGAGGAAACAUGCUGGCACCUGUGGAGUAGCCAUUUUUGAAGAUAAUUUUUAUUGACGCUGUGUUUCAUCCUGUGAUGCCCACAUAUCAAACUAACAAGCACCCUAAGACAAGCCUGUUCCCUUUGUUUACACCACCCAUGAAAGCAAGGUUCAAAGAGGUCUUUGAUCUAUUGAGAAUGGAUCCUGAUAUAUGACAUGAGGAAACAUUUGGCUGCAGUUUUCAGUUUCUGCCCACAGUCUCAGAAUCAUCUUCAUCACACACCCUCAAGGAUUCUACCAUCAGCCAGCCAUGUGCUCUCCUCAGAGACUGGAAACAAAGUUCCAUGGGGGUUCCUUCUCCAGGCUCCUGAGGAACUUGCAUCAGUCAUUUGUCCUCUUCAAGCAAGCACAAAGUUUCAAAUGAAUGAGUGGGGAGCAGUGACUUGUAACCUAAUUACUCCUACAUAAAAAAUAGGGUGACAUUUGUGAGAUUUUUCUUAUCACCCAGGGCCCUCUUCCCACAAGAUUGCGUAUUGUCAAUGGUGUUAGUAUCCUAGUAUAACUUUGGAUCUUUCCAUCUUUUUUUUUUCUGAGUACAAAUUUGAAGGACUGGUACAAAUGAAAAAACUUAAGUGGAUGCUUUAGUACAAUGUAUGGAAAAGGUCAAGGUAAACCCAAAAUGCAUGCACUACCAUGAUGACCAAAGAAGUCGCCCCCAUGGCUACUGUAAAACCAGCCUAAUGCUCAGCUCUCAUCAUCACUAUCUCCCAGGGUAUGCUUGUCAGAGAAACUAUGCCAUGCCAGCUUUGGCAUUUAGUGUACCAAUACACAUUUCUUAUUUCUGAAAAAUUAUGAGGCAGAAUGUUGCUGAAAACCUUGCUUUAUUCACUGCUGUGUAAUAAAGGGUUGACUUACCAGGUUUGGGGUAUUCAAACCCUGCACGUUCCAAAGAAAGGACUGGCCCUUGUCUGGUACCUGGGAGGUAACCUCUAGCCUCUUAUAAGAGCAUUUUUGUAUACCUGGGGUUGGGGCCAUGCCAUAUAGUUUAAGGUAGCAAUGCGACUCUUGGUGAACACCUGCUUUCGUCUGCCUGGGGCUCUGGGCCGUGCUGUAUCACUCUGACCUUUAGGAGGCUGGAGUGUCAGAAGUUCAGUUGAGUCAUGUGGUUAGUCCAGGCCCACAUAACUAACCCCCAGUAAAAACCCUGGGCAAAAAGGCUCAGGUGAGCUUCCCUGGCUGCCAGUACUCCAUAUGUGUUGUCACAUGAUUGCUGGAAGAAUUAAGCACUGUCUAUACAAGCCCACUGAGAAAGGGAAACUGGAAGUAUGCGCCAUUUUCUUCUGGACGCUGUCCUAUGCACCCUUUACAUUUGCUAAUUUCAACCUAUAGCUUUUCACUAUAAUAAACUGUAACCAUAAGUAUAGCAGCUUUU